This is a long non-coding RNA of Ruditapes philippinarum (Manila clam), 1235 nucleotides long. RefSeq lists it as uncharacterized. NCBI's taxonomy places the organism in Eukaryota, Metazoa, Mollusca, Bivalvia, Venerida, Veneridae. The transcript is spliced from 6 exons. The record is from RefSeq and is a predicted model, not a curated record.
UGUAUACAAAUAGUCCAGUCAUUCUAUUUAUAACCUAGAAAAAAUUGCAAAAGAAUUAAUUCCUUGUGCAUCGUACGUAGCAAUGCCUAAUUAAGACACAAUGUUAUUUUUAAGCCUCAUUUCAAUGGGGAAAGUGUAAAAAUCCAACAAUGAAAAUGGCGAAAAUAAUACAUUUUGAAGAUGUCCUGUAUAGUACACCAUUCAGGUGCUUUCUGUGUAUAUGACGUCAUUAAGUGACGUGAAAUCAUAUAAAAUGGCGGAUGCGUUGACUGGCCGGUGUGUUUUUUCAGUAACAAUUGGUGUGAUGUUAAGCAUUUACUAGGAAUAUCAAAGAAAAUUGACCUUACUGUACCAGUGAAAUAAGUUUGCAGGAGAAGUAUUUAACUUGAAGCUGGUUCGUUACGUGCAUGUAAACGUUUAAAGGUAAAAGACAUGUGAAUUUGAGAAAUGAAGGUGUGGGCUGAACUGUAGGAACUUAAAGCAGUGAAAUAUCAACCUGAUUGGUUCUAAUGAGGUGUUACAAUGUAUUGAUAAAGCAGUCAAUUCAUGUGUAGUAUUAUCUGAGGUCAGAUCAUAUUUCAAUUGAAUAAAAGACAUAGUGUGUAAAAUCAUGUAAAAUCUUUGGCAAGACAAGCAGAUCUAAAAGCGUUUGCCUUCUACAUUCAUGUUCAUGGGCACAACAUGAUGGAUGACCAAGAGAACAGCAGACGUUUGAGAUCAGAAGAGAACUUUAAUAUAAAAUCUGACUGCUUAUUCUGCACAAAUUAUGCUAAAUCAAACAAAAAGAAAAGGGGUGGUGAUGUGUGGGAUGUUAAAACUUUAGAUUUUCAAGAUACAAUUAUUCGGAAAUGUAAAGAGAGAAAUGACUUGUGGGGUAUUGCUGUGCUUGGGCGAAUAGAACACAUUAUUGAUCUGCCUGCUGCUGAUGCAGUUUAUCAUCAAAUAUGCAAUACAAACUUCAGGACUGGAAAAGACAUACCUAUGAAAUACCAAUCAAAUACAAGUAAACGCCCAAAACUUAGUGCAAAAAGUCCGGGGAGACCUAUCAAUAGAGAUCAACAAUUGGCAUUUGAUGAACUUGUGCGUUAUGUCGAAACAUCUGAAGGUAAAGUCAUUUCAGUGAGUGAUCUUGUCAAAAAAAUGACCGAACUUUGUGGUGACAAGUCUUAUACUGCAAAACAUAUGAAAAAUAAGCUUAUAGAACACUUUGGUUCUGAUAUUGUUAUUGGGAAUCU